RNAcentral lists this ribosomal RNA (406 nucleotides) under uncultured bacterium. Its description in RNAcentral is "partial 16S ribosomal RNA". It matches the Rfam family "Bacterial small subunit ribosomal RNA", at positions 30 to 526 of the family's 1533-position model. The record is from RNAcentral.
AUUGAACGCUGGCGGCAGGCCUAACACAUGCAAGUCGCACGAGUGGCGGACGGGUGAGUAAUGUCUGGGAAACUGCCUGAUGGAGGGGGAUAACUACUGGAAACGGUAGCUAAUACCGCCUACCCUCGGAUGUGCCCAGAUGGGCUGCGCUAGUAGGGGGGGUAAAGGCUCACCUAGGCGACGGUCCCUAGCUGGUCUGAGAGGAUGACCAGCCACACGGGAACUGAGACACGGUCCAGACUCCUACGGUAGGCAGCAGUGGGGAAUAUUGCACAAUGGGCGCAAGCCUGAUGCAGCCAUGCCGCGUGUAUGAAGAAGGCCUUCGGGUUGUAAAGUACUUUCAGCGGGGAGGCGUUACCCGCAGAAGAAGCACCGGCUAACUCCGUGCCAGCCGCCGCGGUAAUAC